GUAGGUGAACCUGCGGAAGGAUCAUUACAGAAUUGGUUGGUUGGUGGGAGGGGUGGGUUUGGUUGGUUGGUUGGUUGGUUAUGCCAAUCUCCGAUCUCCAAUCUCGGAUCUCGGAUCUCCCGUCCAUCACAUAUCAUUUGCGCUUGUAUUGUUUGACAGAGUAAAUGGUGAAUAAUAAUAUUAUGACAACUUUUAACAAUGGAUCUCUGGGCUCUU
This 216-nucleotide unclassified non-coding RNA is filed under the name rhizosphere metagenome. Its description in RNAcentral is "partial ribosomal RNA internal transcribed spacer region". The record is from RNAcentral.